UACGGAGGGUGCGAGCGUUGUCCGGAAUCACUGGGCGUAAAGGGCGCGUAGGCGGCCUGAUAAGUAGGGGGUGAAAUCCUGCGGCUUAACCGCAGGGCUGCCUUCUAAACUGUCAGGCUGGAGCACAGUAGAGGCAGGUGGAAUUCCCGGUGUAGCGGUGGAAUGCGUAGAGAUCGGGAAGAACAUCAGUGGCGAAGGCGGGUCUCUGGGCCGAAACUGACGCUGAGGAGCGAAAGCGUGGGGAGCAAACAGG
This 253-nucleotide ribosomal RNA is filed under the name uncultured bacterium. RNAcentral's name for it is "partial 16S ribosomal RNA". It matches the Rfam family "Bacterial small subunit ribosomal RNA", at positions 524 to 776 of the family's 1533-position model. The record is from RNAcentral.